Camelus ferus (Wild Bactrian camel) is the source of this 46-nucleotide regulatory RNA element. It matches the Rfam family "Histone 3' UTR stem-loop". From Rfam's summary of the family: The mRNAs of metazoan histone genes lack a poly-A tail. 3' end processing occurs at a site between a highly conserved stem-loop (modelled by this family) and a purine rich region around 20 nts downstream (the histone downstream element, or HDE). Lineage: Eukaryota; Metazoa; Chordata; Mammalia; Artiodactyla; Camelidae. The record is from Rfam.
CCAAAGGCUCUUUUCAGAGCCACCCACAUUUUCAAGUAAAGUGGCU